Unclassified non-coding RNA from Macaca mulatta (Rhesus monkey), 148 nucleotides. It matches the Rfam family "Metazoan signal recognition particle RNA". From Rfam's summary of the family: The signal recognition particle (SRP) is a universally conserved ribonucleoprotein. It is involved in the co-translational targeting of proteins to membranes. The record is from Ensembl. Lineage: Eukaryota; Metazoa; Chordata; Mammalia; Primates; Cercopithecidae.
GCCAGGCGUGGUAGCGCAUGCCUGUAAUCCCAGCUACUCAGGAGGCUGAGGCAGGAGAAUCACUUGAAUCCAGGAGGCGGAGGUUGCAGUGAGCCGAGAUCACGCCACUGCACUCCAGCCUGGGCAACAGAGUGAGACUCUGUCUCAA